RNAcentral lists this ribosomal RNA (439 nucleotides) under uncultured bacterium. RNAcentral describes it as "partial 16S ribosomal RNA". It matches the Rfam family "Bacterial small subunit ribosomal RNA", at positions 338 to 795 of the family's 1533-position model. The record is from RNAcentral.
CCUAGGGGUGCAGCAGUGGGGAAUAUUGCACAAUGGAGGAAACUCUGAUGCAGCAACGCCGCGUGGAGGAUGACACUUUUCGGAGCGUAAACUCCUUUUAUAUAGGAAGAAGAUGACGGUACUAUAUGAAUAAGCGCCGGCUAACUCCGUGCCAGCAGCCGCGGUAAUACGGAGGGCGCAAGCGUUACUCGGAAUCACUGGGCGUAAAGAGCGUGUAGGCGGAUUAAAAAGUCAGAAGUGAAAUCCUAUAGCUUAACUAUAGAACUGCUUCUGAAACUCUUAAUCUAGAAUAUGGGAGAGGUAGAUGGAAUUUCUGGUGUAGGGGUAAAAUCCGUAGAGAUCAGAAGGAAUACCGAUUGCGAAGGCGAUCUACUAGAACAUUAUUGACGCUGAGACGCGAAAGCGUGGGGAGCAAACAGGAUUAGAUACCCGGGUAGUC